Molecule: ribosomal RNA, 467 nt
Filed under: uncultured bacterium
Lineage: Bacteria
Description: bacterial SSU rRNA
Rfam family: Bacterial small subunit ribosomal RNA
Source: RNAcentral
AGGACGAACGCUGGCGGCGUGCCUAACACAUGCAAGUCGAGCGAAUGAAGUUCCUUCGGGAACGGAUUUAGCGGCGGACGGGUGAGUAACACGUGGGCAACCUGCCUCAUAGAGGGGAAUAGCCUUCCGAAAGGGAGAUUAAUACCGCAUAAGAUUGUAGUACCGCAUGGUACAGCAAUUAAAGGAGCAAUCCGCUAUGAGAUGGGCCCGCGUCCGAUUAGAUAGUUGGCGGGGUAACGGCCCACCAAGUCGACGAUCGGUAGCCGGACUGAGAGGUUGAACGGCCACAUUGGGUCUGAGACACGGCCCAGACUCCUACGGGAGGCAGCAGUGGGGAAUAUUGCACAAUGGGGGAAACCCUGAUGCAGCAACGCCGCGUGAGUGAUGACGGUCUUCGGAUUGUAAAGCUCUGUCUUUAGGGGACGAUAAUGACGGUACCUAAGGAGGAAGCCACGGCUAACUACGUG